UGUCCGUAGGUGAACCUGCGGAAGGAUCAUUAAUGAGUUGUCAUGGGGUUCGAUGCUGGCAGCCAGUUUUUGGAUGCAUGUGCUUGCCCUAACAAUCAUCUUCUUCCAAACACCUGUGCACAUUUUUGAGGGAGUCUUGAGUUGGUUGCCGCUCUUGGGUGAUUUUCUCACAUUCCCUUAAAUCAUUAUACGCUAUUAACAAUGUUGAACGUGCUCUGUGCCGCAAGGCCAUUAAUAUAAUACAACUUUUAACAACGGAUCUCUUGGCUCUC
Molecule: unclassified non-coding RNA, 272 nt
Filed under: plant metagenome
Description: partial contains small subunit ribosomal RNA, internal transcribed spacer 1, and 5.8S ribosomal RNA
Source: RNAcentral